AAGUCGUAACAAGGUUUCCGUAGGUGAACCUGCGGAAGGAUCAUUAACACGUAUCCACGUACCCACCAUUGUGCAUGAAAAUCUCCCUGAAAAUUAUUUUUCAGGCUACUUCUUUUUUCAUACAAACUUAUUUCACAAUUUGAACAACUUCUAUAAAAUAUUGCAAGUUGACUUAUUAUAUUGAAAAAAUGAAAAUUUUUUCUAUUUUCUUAUUUUAAUCGAUAGGAAUAUCAUAAAGUACAACUCUUAGCAAUGGAUAUCUUGGCUCUC
RNAcentral lists this unclassified non-coding RNA (270 nucleotides) under fungal sp. RNAcentral describes it as "partial internal transcribed spacer region". The stretch from base 1 to 46 matches the Rfam family "Eukaryotic small subunit ribosomal RNA", at positions 1786 to 1831 of the family's 1831-position model. The record is from RNAcentral. Lineage: Eukaryota; Fungi.